UUAAAUUGAAGAGUUUGAUCAUGGCUCAGAUUGAACGCUGGCGGCAGGCCUAACACAUGCAAGUCGAACGGUAACAGGAAGCAGCUUGCUUCUUUGCUGACGAGUAGCGGACGGGUGAGUAAUGUCUGGGAAACUGCCUGAUGGAGUGGGAUAACUACUGGAAACAGUAGCUAAUACCGCAUA
This 183-nucleotide ribosomal RNA is filed under the name Escherichia coli. RNAcentral describes it as "partial 16S ribosomal RNA". It matches the Rfam family "Bacterial small subunit ribosomal RNA", at positions 1 to 175 of the family's 1533-position model. Lineage: Bacteria; Pseudomonadati; Pseudomonadota; Gammaproteobacteria; Enterobacterales; Enterobacteriaceae. The record is from RNAcentral.